CCCGCACAAGUAGCGGAGCAUGUGGUUUAAUUCGAAGCAACGCGAAGAACCUUACCUAAGCUUGACAUCCCAAUGACAUCUCCUUAAUCGGAGAGUUCCCUUCGGGGACAUUGGGGACAGGUGGUGCAUGGUUGUCGUCAGCUCGUGUCGUGAGAUGUUGGGUUAAGUCCCGCAACGAGCGCAACCCUUGUCUUUAGUUGCCAUCAUUAAGUUGGGCACU
This 220-nucleotide ribosomal RNA is filed under the name Clostridioides difficile. RNAcentral describes it as "partial 16S ribosomal RNA". It matches the Rfam family "Bacterial small subunit ribosomal RNA", at positions 920 to 1139 of the family's 1533-position model. Lineage: Bacteria; Bacillati; Bacillota; Clostridia; Peptostreptococcales; Peptostreptococcaceae. The record is from RNAcentral.